GACGUAGGGUGCAAGCGUUGUCCGGAUUUACUGGGCGUAAAGCGCGCGUAGGCGGCUCGUUAAGUGUGAAGUGAAAUCCCUGGGCUCAACUCAGGAACUGCUUUACAUACUGGCGAGCUUGAGGGAUGCAGAGGUCUGUGGAAUUCCUGGUGUAACGGUGAAAUGCGUAGAUAUCGGGAGGAACACCAGUGGCGAAGGCGAUCACCUGGGGUUGUUCUGACGCUGAGGAGCGAAAGCUAGGGGAGCAAACGGG
RNAcentral lists this ribosomal RNA (253 nucleotides) under uncultured bacterium. RNAcentral describes it as "partial 16S ribosomal RNA". It matches the Rfam family "Bacterial small subunit ribosomal RNA", at positions 524 to 776 of the family's 1533-position model. The record is from RNAcentral.